This 598-nucleotide ribosomal RNA is filed under the name uncultured fungus. Its description in RNAcentral is "eukaryotic LSU rRNA". The stretch from base 201 to 354 matches the Rfam family "5.8S ribosomal RNA". Lineage: Eukaryota; Fungi. The record is from RNAcentral.
AAGUCGUAACAAGGUUUCCGUAGGUGAACCUGCGGAAGGAUCAUUAUAGAGAGCUUCGGCUCCCUGUAUUGCAUUACCAUAAUGAUAUUCCUUUCCAUGUUGCUUCCACCCCUUUAUUUAUGGUGGUGGGAGGUUUAUUCAUACUAUUAUUUUUGCUUAGGCUGUUAAACUGUCUGAAUAUGAGGGAAAAUGUUAAAAAAAACUUUCAACAACGGAUCUCUUGGCUCCUGCAUCGAUGAGGAACGCAGCGAAAUGCGAUAAUUAAUGUGAAUUGCAGAAUUCCGUGAAUCAUCGAGUCUUUGAACGCACAUUGCGCCUCAUGGCAUUCCGUGAGGCAUGCCCAUCUCAGCGUUAGUAAAUAUAAUCAGAUUUUGACCUAGUGUCAAUCUUUGGAUCAUGUCAAGGAAGCUAUUUUUACUGUUAAGGUGGAUAGCUCUUUGGAAAUUCAUUGGUCUUCAAGUUACUAUUAUUGGAACGUGAUGAAAUUACUUCGUUCAAAAGUAGUUGACUUGUAUAGUCCCAAAUGAGAUAAUAUAUAUAUACCUUUGGUAUUAUUGUAUUUGACCUGAGAUUGGGUAGGGAUACCCGCUGAACUUAA